Molecule: ribosomal RNA, 487 nt
Filed under: Pseudomonas sp. 3S2.D7
Lineage: Bacteria; Pseudomonadati; Pseudomonadota; Gammaproteobacteria; Pseudomonadales; Pseudomonadaceae
Description: bacterial SSU rRNA
Rfam family: Bacterial small subunit ribosomal RNA
Source: RNAcentral
CUCAUAGCAAGUCGAGCGGCAGCACGGGUACUUGUACCUGGUGGCGAGCGGCGGACGGGUGAGUAAUGCCUAGGAAUCUGCCUGGUAGUGGGGGAUAACGCUCGGAAACGGACGCUAAUACCGCAUACGUCCUACGGGAGAAAGCAGGGGACCUUCGGGCCUUGCGCUAUCAGAUGAGCCUAGGUCGGAUUAGCUAGUUGGUGAGGUAAUGGCUCACCAAGGCGACGAUCCGUAACUGGUCUGAGAGGAUGAUCAGUCACACUGGAACUGAGACACGGUCCAGACUCCUACGGGAGGCAGCAGUGGGGAAUAUUGGACAAUGGGCGAAAGCCUGAUCCAGCCAUGCCGCGUGUGUGAAGAAGGUCUUCGGAUUGUAAAGCACUUUAAGUUGGGAGGAAGGGCAGUUACCUAAUACGUGAUUGUUUUGACGUUACCGACAGAAUAAGCACCGGCUAACUCUGUGCCAGCAGCCGCGGUAAUACAGAGG